Quercus robur (English oak) is the source of this 691-nucleotide long non-coding RNA. RefSeq lists it as uncharacterized. The transcript is spliced from 3 exons. The record is from RefSeq and is a predicted model, not a curated record. Lineage: Eukaryota; Viridiplantae; Streptophyta; Magnoliopsida; Fagales; Fagaceae.
AUGUACAAAUAUAAGAAACUCUUGCUACAGAAGAGUUUUAAUUUUCUCUUUGUUUAUAAUACCUCUUCUACUCUCUAUAUUUUUUUUCUAGCUCAACUCACUUAGACACACAAUACCCCAUUUGAUCAUUGAGUGAUGAUAUUUAGAGCAAUGCAUUUCAUGGAAAGAGCUCAAAGGGCACCAAAGGGCUUAUUUCAAAUGAAAGAUUUCAUGUUUCAAGGUUUCCGGGUUUCACCAUUGUAUCACUGAGAUGGUUCAACACAACUUUAUGCACCAACGGAGUUUAGCAGUUCGAAGUACUUUUUCGGCUGUAGGCUGUACUCGAUUUCACCACUUGGUCUACAACAGGUGGUAUGGAAAUCCUAUUCAAUCUGAUCAUUGACAGGCCUCUUGGUAUCACUUUGGUUGAAAGUGGAGGUCAUGAGUGCAGACUCCCAGCCAGCCCCAAGGCCAAAACUCGAAGCAGUGAUCGAAAUCAAAGGAUCAGCAGACACCGAUGCAAUCCCAUUAGUAAUAGUCUGUUGUUGGAAUUGGUGUUGGGCAGUGAAUGCCUCUUCAUUGAUCAAUGAAUUCAAGAAGGAAGAGAACACAUCAUCAGAGCCGUAAUUUAUGUCAUCUUCAUCUUCAGGGCUAAGUCCAUUGUUGCUGCUUCUCAAUCCAAUUCCAGCUGAACCAUCUGAGUUUGGCAAAG